AGAGUUUGAUCCUGGCUCAGGAUGAACGCUGGCGGCGUGCUUAAUACAUGCAAGUCGAACGAAGUCAGUAGCAAUAUUGGCUGAGUGGCGAACGGGUGAGUAACGCGUUGGUGACCUGCCCCGAAGAGAGGGAUAACAGUUCGAAAGGAUUGCUAAUACCCCAUGUGGUCAUUUGGAUUAGAUGCCUUAUGACUAAACGGAUUUAUUCGCUUCGGGAGGGGCCUGCGUCCCAUCAGCUAGUUGGUAGGGUAAUGGCCUACCAAGGCGAUGACGGGUAGGGGACCUGAGAGGGUGGCCCCCCACAAUGGAACUGAAACACGGUCCAUACACCUACGGGUGGCAGCAGUAGGGAAUAUUGGUUAAUCUGCGAAAGCGGGAACCAGCAACGCCGCGUGCACGAUGACGGCCUUCGGGUUGUAAAGUGCUUUUGAAAGGAUGAGGAAGGACAGACUCAGAAUA
This 459-nucleotide ribosomal RNA is filed under the name uncultured bacterium. RNAcentral describes it as "bacterial SSU rRNA". It matches the Rfam family "Bacterial small subunit ribosomal RNA", at positions 8 to 464 of the family's 1533-position model. The record is from RNAcentral.